UUAAUGGAGAGUUUGAUCCUGGCUCAGGACGAACGCUGGCGGCGUGCCUAAUACAUGCAAGUCGAGCGAGGGUCUUCGGACCCUAGC
Molecule: ribosomal RNA, 87 nt
Filed under: Brevibacillus laterosporus
Lineage: Bacteria; Bacillati; Bacillota; Bacilli; Caryophanales; Paenibacillaceae
Also listed under: 1 other name
Description: partial 16S ribosomal RNA
Rfam family: Bacterial small subunit ribosomal RNA
Source: RNAcentral